UACGUAGGUGGCAAGCGUUGUCCGGAAUUAUUGGGCGUAAAGCGCGCGCAGGCGGUCCUUUAAGUCUGAUGUGAAAGCCCACGGCUCAACCGUGGAGGGUCAUUGGAAACUGGGGGACUUGAGAUGCAGAAGGAGGAAAGUGGAAUUCCACGUGUAGCGGUGAAAUGCGUAGAGAUGUGGAGGAACACCAGUGGCGAAGGCGACUUUCUGGUCUGUAACUGACGCUGAGGCGCGAAAGCGUGGGGAGCAAACAGG
Molecule: ribosomal RNA, 255 nt
Filed under: uncultured bacterium
Lineage: Bacteria
Description: partial 16S ribosomal RNA
Rfam family: Bacterial small subunit ribosomal RNA
Source: RNAcentral